Molecule: ribosomal RNA, 341 nt
Filed under: Chondria armipes
Lineage: Eukaryota; Metazoa; Arthropoda; Insecta; Coleoptera; Endomychidae
Description: partial 12S ribosomal RNA
Source: RNAcentral
UUUAAUUGUAAUGUUAAAUAAAAAUUAGUAUUAGUAAUGUUCUUUAAAAUUAAAGAUUUUGGCGGUAUUUUAUCUUUUCAGAGGAAUCUGUUCUAUAAUUGAUAGUCCACGAUUAAUUAAACUUUAUUUAAAAAUUUGUAUAUCGUCGUAUAAAAUAUUUUUAAAGAAUUAAUAUUUAAAUUUGAUAAGAUAAUAAAUCAGAUCAAGGUGCAGUUUAUAGUAAAGUAGAAAUGGAUUACAAUAUAAUUUAUAUGUGGAUUAUUAAUUAAAAAUUAAUAUGAAAAUGGAUUUGAAAGUAAUUAUAUAUAUAUUUAUAUAAUGAUUAAAGUUCUAAAAUAUGU